AUACGGAGGGUCCGAGCGUUAUCCGGAAUCAUUGGGUUUAAAGGGUCCGUAGGCGGGAAUCUAAGUCAGUGGUGAAAUCUUGCAGCUCAACUGUAAAACUGCCAUUGAUACUGGAUUUCUUGAAUUAGUGUGAAGUGGUUAGAAUGUGUAGUGUAGCGGUGAAAUGCAUAGAUAUUACACAGAAUACCAAUUGCGAAGGCAGAUCACUAACACUAUAUUGACGCUAAGGGACGAAAGCGUGGGGAGCGAACAGGAUUAGAAACCCCAGUAGUCC
This 274-nucleotide ribosomal RNA is filed under the name uncultured bacterium. Its description in RNAcentral is "partial 16S ribosomal RNA". It matches the Rfam family "Bacterial small subunit ribosomal RNA", at positions 523 to 796 of the family's 1533-position model. The record is from RNAcentral.